Molecule: ribosomal RNA, 2311 nt
Filed under: Deltaproteobacteria bacterium
Lineage: Bacteria; Pseudomonadati; Myxococcota; Myxococcia
Description: partial 23S ribosomal RNA
Rfam family: Bacterial large subunit ribosomal RNA
Source: RNAcentral
AAUGUAGGCGAAAAGAGCAUACGGUGAAUGCCUUGGCAUUACAAGCCGAAGAAGGACGUGAUAAGCUGCGAUAAGCGUUAGGUAGGUGCAAACGACUGUUAAUCUAGCGAUGUCCGAAUAGGGAAACCUAAUCAUUGUAAAGAGUGAUUACCCGCUUGUGAACACAUAGCAAGUGUGGAGGAAUACGGAGGGAACUGAAACAUCUUAGUACCUCUAGGAAAAGAAAGAAAAAUCGAUUUUCUGAGUAGCGGCGAGCGAAAGGGAAAGAGCCUAAACCAUUUAAAGCAAUUUGAAUGGGGUUUUGGAAUAUCAAUAUUGACAUAAAAUUUAUAGCAGAAGCGGUUUGGAAAGACCCGCCAGAGAGAGUAAUAGUCUCGUAUGCGAAAUAGAUUUUAUACAUAGAUAUCUCCAGAGUAGUGCGGAACACGAGAAAUUCUGUAUGAAGACAGGGGGACCACCCCCUAAGGCUAAAUACUAUGUAAUGACCGAUAGCGAACUAGUACCGUGAGGGAAAGGUGAAAAGAACCCCGGGAGGGGAGUGAAAUAGAAUUUGAAACCAUAUGCUUACAAGCAGAGGAAGCGGACUUGAUCCGUGACCUCGUACUUUUUGUAGAACGGGCAUGCGAGUUAUGGUAUAUAGCAAGGUUAAGGUGUUUAGCACCGGAGCCGAAGCGAAAGCGAGUCUUAACUGGGCGAUUAAGUUAUAUGCUGUAGACCCGAAACCAGGUGACCUAUCCAUGUGCAGGUUGAAGUAGGAGUAAAAUCUUAUGGAGGACCGAACCCGUGUCGGUUAAAAACGGCUGGGAUGACGUGUGGAUAGCGGUGAAAUUCCAAUCGAACCUGGAUAUAGCUGGUUCUCCUCGAAAUAGCUUUAGGGCUAGCGUGGAUAUAGUUUAACGGGGGUAGAGCACUGAAUGUUUGAGGGCCCUUCACCGGGUACCGAUAACUAUCAAACUCCGAAUACCGUUUAAAUGUUUAUCUGCAGUCAGACUAUGGGAGAUAAGUUUCAUGGUCAAAAGGGAAAGAGCCCAGACCCGCAGCUAAGGUCCCUAAAUAUAGGUUAAGUGUGAAAGGAUGUGAAAUUUCUAAAACAGCUAGGAUGUUGGCUUAGAAGCAGCCAUUCAUUUAAAGAGUGCGUAACAGCUCACUAGUCGAGCAAUCUUGCGCCGAAGAUAAACGGGGCUAAACCUAUUACCGAAGCUUGGGAUUGGCAAAUUUAUUUGUCAGUGGUAGAGGAGCAUUGUAUAAGGGUUGAAGUGAAAGCCGUAAGGCAUCGUGGACUUUAUAGAAGAGAGAAUGCAUGCAUGAGUAGCGUAAGUGGUGUGAGAAUCACCACCGCCGAAAAUCCAAGGUUUCCUGAGGAAGGUUCGUCCGCUCAGGGUAAGUCGGGACCUAAGAUGAGGCCGAAAGGCGUAGUUGAUGGACAUCAGGCAUAAAAUUCCUGAACUGCCGAGAGUUGUUUGAAAGAUGCUAGGACGCAAGAGGAUGCGAAGUGCCAGUUAAUGGUAUACUGGUCCAAAUAUCAAGUUAGGAGUUGUUGUUAAGUACGCAAUUCCGUUUUAAUGCGAGAUAUGAUGGGGAGGGAAAUUUAGUACCGAAGCUUUUUAGUUCAUAUUGCCAAGAAAAGUAGCUAUUUAGACUCAAGGUACCCGUACCGCAAACCGACACAGGUAGAUGAGGAGAGAAUCCUAAGGUGAGCGAGAAAACUAUUGUUAAGGAACUCGGCAAAAUGACCCCGUAACUUCGGGAGAAGGGGUGCCCUCUUUUGAGGGCUGCAAAAAAAUGGCCCAGGCGACUGUUUACCAAAAACACAGGUCUCUGCUAAAGCGAAAGCUGAUGUAUAGGGGCUGACGCCUGCCCAGUGCCGGAAGGUUAAGAGAGGAUGUUCGUGUUUUACACAAAGCAUUUGAUUUAAGCCCCGGUGAACGGCGGCCGUAACUAUAACGGUCCUAAGGUAGCGAAAUUCCUUGUCGGGUAAGUUCCGACCUGCACGAAAGGCGUAACGAUCUGGGCACUGUCUCAACAAUAGACUCGGUGAAAUUGUAGUACCGGUAAAGAUGCCGGUUACCCGCAGCAGGACGGAAAGACCCCGUGGAGCUUUACUGCAACUUGAUAUUGGAUUUUUGUAUUAAAUGUACAGGAUAGAUGGGAGACUUUGAAAUAAGGACGUCAGUUUUUAUGGAGUCGUUGUUUGGAUACCAUCCUUUUAAUAUGCAAAUUCUAACUUUGUUGCGGACUCAGGAAGGAGGACAGUGUCUGGUGGGCAGUUUGUGUGGGGCGGGCGCCUCCUUAAGUGUAUCGGUGGCUCGGG